RNAcentral lists this ribosomal RNA (474 nucleotides) under uncultured bacterium. RNAcentral describes it as "bacterial SSU rRNA". It matches the Rfam family "Bacterial small subunit ribosomal RNA", at positions 28 to 482 of the family's 1533-position model. The record is from RNAcentral.
GAUGAACGCUAGCUACAGGCUUAACACAUGCAAGUCGAGGGGAAACGACAGGGAGUGCUUGCACACUCUGGGCGUCGACCGGCGCACGGGUGAGUAACGCGUAUCCAACCUGCCCACCACUUGGGAAUAACCUUGCGAAAGUAAGACUAAUGCCCAAUGAUAUUGAGUGCAGACAUCUAAUCUCAAUUAAAGAUUUAUCGGUGAUGGAUGGGGAUGCGUCCGAUUAGCUUGUUGGCGGGGUAACGGCCCACCAAGGCAACGAUCGGUAGGGGUUCUGAGAGGAAGGUCCCCCACAUUGGAACUGAGACACGGUCCAAACUCCUACGGGAGGCAGCAGUGAGGAAUAUUGGUCCAAUGGGCGAGAGCCUGAACCAGCCAAGUAAGCGUGCAGGAUGACGGCCCUAUGGGUUGUAAACUAGCUUUUAUUAAGGGAAUAAAGUAGGGGCGUCGUGAGCUCUUUUGUCAUGUACCUUA